GCUGCCGCAGUGCCGGGUCCUGAGGCGGGUUUAGAGCCCGGAGCCCCUUUUCUCCGCUGCCUCAACGCGCCCCGCCGGGCCGCAGAGGGGUGCCGGCCGGUGAAAGCCGAUGAAACGCCUCGGGGAGCUCCGUCUGCCUCUGGAUCAGCCCCGCGGAGCAUGUCCAAGAGCUGCCUACAGGGGAAGCUUCACUCCACUGUGCAAUCAUCACAGCUUUGAUUUGGUCCACGUACACAUGAUGCCUCACACUUUUCACAGUUGUUAUCUCCCUGUAUGAAGAUCAUGGGAUAAGUUUCUCUAAUUUAUCAGUACAGAAAUAUUUUCAUCUCACCUGUGUGCAUAGUGAAAAUCAUGUGCUGGAAACAGACACAAGUGUGAAUGCUUUGUAAUAUGGCUGGGUUGGUCUUCAGCGUUUGGCUGUUGUGUUCUGCUGUGUCAAGGAGUAUGAUAAUACAUCCCUAAACAUUGGAACAUGGACAAAGACAGUGAACAAAAUGGCAGGAAAUAAGGAAAUUCCCUAGGAAGCACAAACAGUGGUGCUGUGAGCACUUGCAAAGUCAAUAUAUGUGAAACCUCAUGUUUAAGACAGAAAAGGUUCUUUGAAGGGUGAACAACUUUGGGAUCUAUAUUCAAUUGGAAGGUGCAAAAGAGAAGGAAUUGAGUCCUAUAAAUCAGCAGUUGCUGGGCAGUUGUCCUGACUGCCUUCCACUGGUGUAAAUUGCCAGAAGGAGCUGAGGAGCCUGCAGUGAUUUACAGGUCAUUGUUCACAGGCUCAGGAUACACGACCUCUGCAAACUGACAAAGCAAAGUGAAUAGACAACGUGAUGGCAGGAGAAAUUUAGUAUUGACAAAUGUGGUGAAGCACUUGGAAAAGCACCAUUGGGACCACCUGAAUUAACUGUAACCGCUCAGGAAGAGGACCCAGCUGACCCCCUUUGGAGGACAAUAGAACACCCAGUGGUAGGGAGAGAGGCAAGCAAAAACACUGUAUGGAAGGGGAAAAAUGUACUGUGGUUCCUUUAAUAAAGCUGUUCCAUAAUCACU
RNAcentral lists this long non-coding RNA (1044 nucleotides) under Strigops habroptila (Kakapo). RNAcentral's name for it is "lncRNA (ENSSHBG00005015332.1)". Lineage: Eukaryota; Metazoa; Chordata; Aves; Psittaciformes; Psittacidae. The record is from RNAcentral.